GGUGCAAGCAGCAACACCGUAUGGUGGUAUCUAACAGAUUCACCCAUUUUCCCUUCUUAACUUCGUCUAAUCCCGAUAAUGUUUCCCUUCCAUGUUCACUAAUAUAAACAUGAAUUAAAUGCAUUUCACAAAUGAAAUAUUGUAGAAUCAUGGUUAAUUCAUGCACACUGAAUUGUAUGGUGGACACUCAUAUAUUUGUAUACUCUUAAACAUACUUAGCAUUU
This 224-nucleotide long non-coding RNA is filed under the name Gossypium raimondii (Peruvian cotton). Its description in RNAcentral is "long non-coding RNA (GRAI_LNC003806)". The record is from RNAcentral. Lineage: Eukaryota; Viridiplantae; Streptophyta; Magnoliopsida; Malvales; Malvaceae.